Agrilus planipennis (emerald ash borer) is the source of this 1102-nucleotide long non-coding RNA. RefSeq lists it as uncharacterized. The transcript has 4 exons. The record is from RefSeq and is a predicted model, not a curated record. NCBI's taxonomy places the organism in Eukaryota, Metazoa, Arthropoda, Insecta, Coleoptera, Buprestidae.
UACUUCCGUAACCGUUUGACUGUUGUUUAUUGAGGUAAUUUGAGUUAACAUUUUGGCAUUUGUUUACUUAAAAUUAUGGUUAGACUGCUUUUAUUUGAAAUUUUUGAUGGAAAAAGAAAAGUAUUACAUUUCGUUGCUAAGUAUCGUUCUUGAAUUCCAUCCCUUCAUUUAAAGGGACAAGUAAUUUCAACGGAACGUAUUUAUAGCACGACUAUUAACUUUAUAGGUUAUCCCUGUUCAACUGCUACUGAGCCCCAAUUUAAGUACCACAAGGGCAAUUGGAACAUCUACUAUAAAUAUUGUUGCUUUGAAGCAUAUGUAUCAAGGUAAUAUAAUGAAUGCUACUCGAGUCCUGAUAUAAAUUACCACAAGAAGGGUGAUUAUUGAAUUUUAUUGGAAAAUUUUGAAGUUAUAAAAACGUUAAGUACAAUCAGCUGAUUCUUGGCAAAGACAAAAAAACUACAAAACCUACAACUUGGGGGUUGCUUUAAGAGGUUGCUCAUUUUAAAAGAAUUACGACAUUGGGUGGGAUUGGAUUUGAUUCACGAACAGAAUAAUUUUGGUAUUGUGAGGCAAUUUCUAUCUAUUUUUCGAUGAUUACUGGUUUAGCAAUACUUGCAAAGUUUACGUAUUUAUUUAUAUAUUUAUGGUCCAUUUGUUAAUCUUGUUUUUAAAUGUCAGCACUUUAUACUUGGAUUACCAUGAAAUUAUUUUGAUUUAGAAAAUUGAAAAGCUAUAAUAGAAUACUGUGAUGAAAAUAAAUUUUAAUUUUUCUAUUACUAGCAAUUUCUACACUGCUAAUUGAUGCUGAAUACUAACUACAGUAUAUAAAUUGAGCAAUAACAACUGAUAGUGAAUAUAGUUGAAAUGAAAAUAUACUGACAGUAUGAGUUUCUUACUAUUUCCAAUAGGAAAUUCAUAUCAAGAUAUACAAAUAUCCAAUAGAUUUGCAUUUUUUGACCAAGUAAAUGAUUGCUAUACUGAAGUUCAAAAUGGUCAUGGACUUAUAAGACAAAUUUUGGAUAAUAAUUAAUUUAAUGAUAUAAAUCCAUAAAAUUUAUGAAAACCUAAUCAAGAAGUAUUUGUAAUUUUAUGAUGCUUU